ACAGCUCGAAAGCCGCGAGGCUCACUACGCACAGGAUGUUUGCCGCAUCCGUUCUCGUGAGCGGGCUAAGGUCUGAGUAUUCGAGUCUCCCUAGAUAGACUCUUGCAGGGUCCAGUGUUAAUCAUGCUGAGCAGCACACCAGAAAUGCAGCUGCAGUCUCAACUGAUCCAAAGAUCCUCUUUGGAGGGGAGGGCACGAGAUCGCGCGGCUUUGGGAUAUGCUGUGGGGGCUGGGUGGGCAUCUUCUCUUUCUGGCAUCGGCCAGUGCAUGUAGAUCUAGGCUAUCGCGCGUCCCUGUGCCGUCACUGGCGCUCUGGAAAUACACAGGGAAUGAAACAUUAUAUGUUUCAUUCUCAGACCUUGAGGCACAAGCUUGGGCGCCAUGGCGCCCUUGCACAAUGAAAUGAUUGGCUUAACAAUCGUUUUUCCAUGAUGCGAAUUCUGAAUCCGCAUCGUGGGGUCGACCAGCUCAUCUCCAGGCUAAAACGUGUAUGAGGCAGUUGAUGUACAUGCAUUCGAUGCUAGGAUGUCCAUCCUUCAGUUCACUUCGCGGCUUGUGCAUUCUUUGAAUCCACAAAACUCGAUUCAGACUACUCUUUGGCUGU
This 604-nucleotide RNase P RNA is filed under the name Piloderma croceum F 1598. RNAcentral describes it as "Nuclear RNase P". It matches the Rfam family "Nuclear RNase P". From Rfam's summary of the family: Ribonuclease P (RNase P) is a ubiquitous endoribonuclease, found in archaea, bacteria and eukarya as well as chloroplasts and mitochondria. Lineage: Eukaryota; Fungi; Basidiomycota; Agaricomycetes; Atheliales; Atheliaceae. The record is from Rfam by way of RNAcentral.